GGGACACGUGGUAUCCUGUCUGAAUAUGGGGGGACCAUCCUCCAAGGCUAAAUACUCCUGACUGACCGAUAGUGAACCAGUACCGUGAGGGAAAGGCGAAAAGAACCCCGGCGAGGGGAGUGAAAAAGAACCUGAAACCGUGUACGUACAAGCAGUGGGAGCACGCUUAGGCGUGUGACUGCGUACCUUUUGUAUAAUGGGUCAGCGACUUAUAUUCUGUAGCAAGGUUAACCGAAUAGGGGAGCCGAAGGGAAACCGAGUCUUAACUGGGCGUUAAGUUGCAGGGUAUAGACCCGAAACCCGGUGAUCUAGCCAUGGGCAGGUUGAAGGUUGGGUAACACUAACUGGAGGACCGAACCGACUAAUGUUGAAAAAUUAGCGGAUGACUUGUGGCUGGGGGUGAAAGGCCAAUCAAACCGGGAGAUAGCUGGUUCUCCCCGAAAGCUAUUUAGGUAGCGCCUCGUGAAUUCAUCUCCGGGGGUAGAGCACUGUUUCGGCAAGGGGGUCAUCCCGACUUACCAACCCGAUGCAAACUGCGAAUACCGGAGAAUGUUAUCACGGGAGACACACGGCGGGUGCUAACGUCCGUCGUGAAGAGGGAAACAACCCAGACCGCCAGCUAAGGUCCCAAAGUCAUGGUUAAGUGGGAAACGAUGUGGGAAGGCCCAGACAGCCAGGAUGUUGGCUUAGAAGCAGCCAUCAUUUAAAGAAAGCGUAAUAGCUCACUGGUCGAGUCGGCCUGCGCGGAAGAUGUAACGGGGCUAAACCAUGCACCGAAGCUGCGGCAGCGACGCUUAUGCGUUGUUGGGUAGGGGAGCGUUCUGUAAGCCUGUGAAGGUGUGCUGUGAGGCAUGCUGGAGGUAUCAGAAGUGCGAAUGCUGACAUAAGUAACGAUAAAGCGGGUGAAAAGCCCGCUCGCCGGAAGACCAAGGGUUCCUGUCCAACGUUAAUCGGGGCAGGGUGAGUCGACCCCUAAGGCGAGGCCGAAAGGCGUAGUCGAUGGGAAACAGGUUAAUAUUCCUGUACUUGGUGUUACUGCGAAGGGGGGACGGAGAAGGCUAUGUUGGCCGGGCGACGGUUGUCCCGGUUUAAGCGUGUAGGCUGGUUUUCCAGGCAAAUCCGGAAAAUCAAGGCUGAGGCGUGAUGACGAGGCACUA
RNAcentral lists this ribosomal RNA (1157 nucleotides) under Escherichia coli. RNAcentral describes it as "partial 23S ribosomal RNA". It matches the Rfam family "Bacterial large subunit ribosomal RNA", at positions 419 to 1579 of the family's 2925-position model. Lineage: Bacteria; Pseudomonadati; Pseudomonadota; Gammaproteobacteria; Enterobacterales; Enterobacteriaceae. The record is from RNAcentral.